GGGCAGCUAGCUCAACUGGUUAGAGCAAUUCGUUUACACCGAAUAGGCUAGGGGUUCGAGUCCCUUGCUGCCCACCA
RNAcentral lists this transfer RNA (77 nucleotides) under Candidatus Dojkabacteria bacterium. RNAcentral's name for it is "tRNA-Val". It matches the Rfam family "tRNA". From Rfam's summary of the family: Transfer RNA (tRNA) molecules are approximately 80 nucleotides in length. Their secondary structure includes four short double-helical elements and three loops (D, anti-codon, and T loops). Further hydrogen bonds mediate the characteristic L-shaped molecular structure. tRNAs have two regions of fundamental functional importance: the anti-codon, which is responsible for specific mRNA codon recognition, and the 3' end, to which the tRNAs corresponding amino acid is attached (by aminoacyl-tRNA synthetases). tRNAs cope with the degeneracy of the genetic code in two manners: having more than one tRNA (with a specific anti-codon) for a particular amino acid; and 'wobble' base-pairing, i.e. permitting non-standard base-pairing at the 3rd anti-codon position. The record is from RNAcentral.